UUCGUGCUACAGUAUAUACUUCCACAAUCAAGUGUAAAAGUGAAAUUUAGUGUCAAGAAGCAUAUAUUUGCAAUGUUUAAUUGACAAGCGUGUGCCUUUACAAGUGUUUUAGCUCGUGUACAGUUGAUAUAAUGGAACUAGCCAUGAACUAUGCCAGCACAGUCUUGAUCAAAACAUUCCUGCAGAGUUUUGUUUAAACAUCUUUGGAACAAUAGAGUAUUUAAAGGCAUCCUAAUGAGGUUUUUACUCAAGUCUCGUCAUGGAAUCUUGACACGCAGCCAUCAUCUGAUCACACAUCAAGGUUGCAAGGCUACACUUUGUAACGAGAGUCUGGUGUAUAAAGCAUCAUGGUUGAUGUAAUAUCUUGCUCCUUUUGCAUGUCAUCGUUGGCUGUAGUAAUAAGCCUACUGUGUCAUCAGAACUGAAGCCACUACAUCUACUUCGGUGACUUCUUCACUCAAACAAGGAUUUUAGUACAUAUAUGUGUCAUAUUGAGUAUGAACGUCUCAUCAGAACCCAUUGUAAGUAUACGAAUAAUUUACUAAUAAUACAACUAAGACAGCUAAGUUCUGAAAAAUUCAAUG
Molecule: long non-coding RNA, 584 nt
Organism: Copidosoma floridanum
Lineage: Eukaryota; Metazoa; Arthropoda; Insecta; Hymenoptera; Encyrtidae
Source: RefSeq, a predicted model, not a curated record